RNAcentral lists this ribosomal RNA (497 nucleotides) under uncultured bacterium. RNAcentral's name for it is "partial 16S ribosomal RNA". It matches the Rfam family "Bacterial small subunit ribosomal RNA", at positions 28 to 507 of the family's 1533-position model. The record is from RNAcentral.
GAUGAACGCUGGCGGCGUGCCUAAUACAUGCAAGUCGAGCGAACGGACGAGAAGCUUGCUUCUCUGAUGUUAGCGGCGGACGGGUGAGUAACACGUGGAUAACCUACCUAUAAGACUGGGAUAACUUCGGGAAACCGGAGCUAAUACCGGAUAAUAUUUUGAACCGCAUGGUUCAAAAGUGAAAGACGGUCUUGCUGUCACUUAUAGAUGGAUCCGCGCUGCAUUAGCUAGUUGGUAAGGUAACGGCUUACCAAGGCAACGAUGCAUAGCCGACCUGAGAGGGGGAUAGGCCACACUGGAACUGGACCACGGUCCAGACUCCUACGGGAGGCAGCAGUAGGGAAUCUUCCGCAAUGGGCGAAAGCCUGACGGAGCAACGCCGCGUGAGUGAUGAAGGUCUUCGGAUCGUAAAACUCUGUUAUUAGGGAAGAACAUAUGUGUAAGUAACUGUGCACAUCUUGACGGUACCUAAUCAGAAAGCCACGGCUAACUACGUG